This is a long non-coding RNA of Sander lucioperca (pikeperch), 100 nucleotides long. RefSeq lists it as uncharacterized. The transcript is spliced from 3 exons. The record is from RefSeq and is a predicted model, not a curated record. NCBI's taxonomy places the organism in Eukaryota, Metazoa, Chordata, Actinopteri, Perciformes, Percidae.
AAAACGAGCCAACAUGUUGGUCCGUUUUUAAAUCUGGGAGCAGACAGCCCACAAGUGAAGCGUUCGUCCAAUCAGGUGCAGCCAUCCCAGCUGUAGGUGG